RNAcentral lists this ribosomal RNA (465 nucleotides) under uncultured bacterium. Its description in RNAcentral is "partial 16S ribosomal RNA". It matches the Rfam family "Bacterial small subunit ribosomal RNA", at positions 28 to 507 of the family's 1533-position model. The record is from RNAcentral.
GACGAACGCUGGCGGCGUGCUUAACACAUGCAAGUCGAACGGAAAGGCCCUGCUUGCCGGGUACUCGAGUGGCGAACGGGUGAGUAACACGUGGGUGAUCUGCCCUGCACUUCGGGAUACGCCUGGGAAACUGGGUCUAAUACCGGAUAGGAGCCAUUUUUAGUGUGAUGGUUGGAAAGUUUUUUCGGUGUAGGAUGAGCUCGCGGCCUAUCAGCUUGUUGGUGGGGUAAUGGCCUACCAAGGCGGCGACGGGUAGCCGGCCUGAGAGGGUGGACGGCCACAUUGGGACUGAGAUACGGCCUAGACUCCGACGGGAGGCAGCAGUGGGGAAUAUUGCACAAUGGGCGCAAGCCUGAUGCAGCGACGCCGCGUGGGGGAUGACGGCCUUCGGGUUGUAAACUCCUUUCGCUAGGGACGAAGCUUUUUGUGACGGUACCUAGAUAAGAAGCACCGGCUAACUACGUG